GGGGGAAUACCAGAGUGGCCAAAUGGGACUGACUGUAACUCAGUUGACGUACGUCUUCGGUGGUUCGAAUCCAUCUUCCCCCAC
Molecule: transfer RNA, 84 nt
Filed under: Bacteroidia bacterium
Lineage: Bacteria; Pseudomonadati; Bacteroidota; Bacteroidia
Description: tRNA-Tyr
Rfam family: tRNA
About the family: Transfer RNA (tRNA) molecules are approximately 80 nucleotides in length. Their secondary structure includes four short double-helical elements and three loops (D, anti-codon, and T loops).
Source: RNAcentral